GCCGGCACAUCACCGGCAAGGCAUCGCACACACGUGCGAGGUGCUUGUACCCAUGUUGCUCGAAGGAGAAUGUGGCUAUGAGAA
Molecule: small RNA, 84 nt
Filed under: Xanthobacter versatilis
Lineage: Bacteria; Pseudomonadati; Pseudomonadota; Alphaproteobacteria; Hyphomicrobiales; Xanthobacteraceae
Description: Xanthobacter autotrophicus Py2 Repression of heat shock gene expression (ROSE) element
Rfam family: Repression of heat shock gene expression (ROSE) element
About the family: This family represents a 5' UTR cis-regulatory element found in heat shock mRNAs and is known as the ROSE (repression of heat shock gene expression) element.
Source: Rfam by way of RNAcentral